RNAcentral lists this ribosomal RNA (1354 nucleotides) under Parnassius stubbendorfii. Its description in RNAcentral is "16S ribosomal RNA". The stretch from base 1081 to 1240 matches the Rfam family "Eukaryotic large subunit ribosomal RNA", at positions 2825 to 2984 of the family's 3401-position model. Lineage: Eukaryota; Metazoa; Arthropoda; Insecta; Lepidoptera; Papilionidae. The record is from RNAcentral.
GGGGGAUAAAUUAAUAAAGUAUAAAUAAUAAAAAAAUUUUUAAUAUUAAAAUAACUUAAUGGGGGUUAAAGUAUAUUUAAUAGAAAAAAUAAUAAAAAUUUAUAGAAAAUUAGUAUUGUAAAGGAAAUUUGAAAUAUAUUGAAAAUAAAUUUAUUUAAAAGUAAAUUUAAUUUAUUGUAUCUUGUGUAUCAGAGUUUAUUAAUAAUAUUUUUUAUUUAAAAAUUUUCUCGAAUUUAGAAGAGAUAAUUAGUUAUUAAAGUUAAUGUUGUAUAAUUAUUUUAAAUAAUUAAUUUGAAAUGAUAUGUUAAUCGUUUUUAAAUAUAUCUAGUUUUUUUAGAAAAAAAUUUAAUUUUAAAUUUUAAAAAGUAAAAUUUUAAUUAAUUAAAAUUUUACUUUUAAAAUUAAAUAUUUUAAGGGAUAAGCUUUAAAAUAAAUUUUUAUAAUAAUUUUUAAUUAUAAUUAAAAUUUUUAAAAUUUAUAUUGUUUAUAAAUUAUAGUUUUUUAUAAAUAAUUUUAAUUAAUUUAAAAUUUAAAAUUUAUUUAAUUUUUUAUAAAAAAAUAAUUUAAAAUAAUUUAGAUUUAGAUAUAAUGAUAAAAUUAGUAUAUAAUUAAAUUAAAAUAAUUUAUUUUUUGUUAAUUUAAUAAAAGGAAUUCGGCAAAAAUUUAUAUUCACUUGUUUAUCAAAAACAUGUCUUUUUGAAUUAAUAAUUUAAAGUCUAAUCUGCCCACUGAUAAUAAAUUAAAGGGCUGCAGUAUUUUGACUGUACAAAGGUAGCAUAAUCAUUAGUCUCUUAAUUGGUGACUUGUAUGAAAGAUUUGAUGAAAUAUGAACUGUCUCUUUAUAAUUUUUAGAAUUUAAUUUUUUAGUUAAAAAGCUAAAAUAUAUUUAAAAGACGAGAAGACCCUAUAGAGUUUAAUAUUUAAUUUAUAUAAAAAAUUUUUUAUAAAAUUUAUAAUUUUAAUAUAAUUAAAUAUUUUGUUGGGGUGACAAAAAAAUUAAAAUAACUUUUUUUAUAAUUUUACAUUAGUAAAUGAAUAAAUGAUCCGUAAUUUACGAUUAUAAGAAAAAAUUACCUUAGGGAUAACAGCGUAAUUUUUUUUUUUAGUUCAAAUAAGAAAAAAAGUUUGCGACCUCGAUGUUGGAUUAAGAUAAAAUUUAAAUGCAAAAGUUUAAAAUUUUUGAUCUGUUCGAUCAUUAAAAUCUUACAUGAUCUGAGUUCAAACCGGUGUAAGCCAGGUUGGUUUCUAUCUUUAAAUUAAUAAAAUAUUUUAGUACGAAAGGAUUAAAUAUUUGGAAUAAUUUUAUAUAUAAGAAUUUUAAUAAUAUAUAAUAAUAGUUAUUUAUUUAAAUAUA